UGGGGAAUCUUGCACAAUGGGGGCAACCCUGAUGCAGCGACGCCGCGUGAGCGAUGAAGCCCUUCGGGGCGUAAAGCUCUUUCGACCGGAACGAUAAUGACGGUACCGGGAGAAGAAGCUGCGGCUAACUACGUGCCAGCAGCCGCGGUAAUACGUAGGCAGCAAGCGUUGUUCGGAGUUACUGGGCGUAAAGAGUGCGUAGGCGGUUUUCUAAGUUCGGUGUGAAAUCUCCCGGCUUAACUGGGAGGGUGCGCCGAAGACUGGGAAGCUGGAGUGUGGGAAAGGCAGGCAGAAUUCCUGGUGUAGCGGUGAGAUGCGUAGAUAUCAGGAGGAACACCGGCGGUGUAGACGGCUUGCUAGACCAUAACUGACGCUGAGGCACGAAAGCGUGGGUAGCAAACA
Molecule: ribosomal RNA, 402 nt
Filed under: uncultured bacterium
Lineage: Bacteria
Description: bacterial SSU rRNA
Rfam family: Bacterial small subunit ribosomal RNA
Source: RNAcentral